Long non-coding RNA from Rhipicephalus microplus (southern cattle tick), 375 nucleotides. Lineage: Eukaryota; Metazoa; Arthropoda; Arachnida; Ixodida; Ixodidae. The record is from RefSeq and is a predicted model, not a curated record.
GGGUUCUAUGUCAGGCGUAUUUCCUGUUCAAAAGAAAAGGUUGUCAGGACGGGACCAUCACGUGUACGACUCAAGAGUGAAGUGGAGCGUGUCUUCACUCCAGGUGAUAGUCACACUCGGUGAAGCAAAACUGUCGCUGCGGUCUGACGACCCUGAUCAUAGGGAAACCAACAGCGUCGUUCACUUUGUCAACGAGGAAUACACAGCUGGUCAUACAUUUCCUUCAGUUGAAAGAGACGACGUAGAAAAAGAGGUUCCUAUCUUUCAUAGAUGCUCACGCUGAACAGGAAUGACAACUCAGCAAGUCUUAUUAUUCAGCAUCCACAAUUUUUAUUGAUAGUAUUGAGAAAUAAAGAUUGCAACACGAUGCCAAUA